Molecule: long non-coding RNA, 213 nt
Filed under: Carica papaya (papaya)
Lineage: Eukaryota; Viridiplantae; Streptophyta; Magnoliopsida; Brassicales; Caricaceae
Description: long non-coding RNA (CPAP_LNC014920)
Source: RNAcentral
GGCCCUGAGCGGCAGGCCUGGGUCUCUUACUGGGUUGGACAGGCAUGGCAGGCGCUGGCCUGCGGAGCGGGGCUGAAGGUCGGGAACUUCCCGUUAGCUGAGGGCGGGUGUCGAAGCUCCUUUCUAUGAUCUGCGCCUUUGCCAGGACUGCCGAAUAUGUCUCGAGCUCCAUCACCAACAAGUGCUGUCUGAUCUCCGGGCGGAGACCCCACU